Molecule: small nuclear RNA, 103 nt
Organism: Jaculus jaculus (lesser Egyptian jerboa)
Lineage: Eukaryota; Metazoa; Chordata; Mammalia; Rodentia; Dipodidae
Source: RefSeq, a predicted model, not a curated record
GUGCUCCCUUCGGCAGCACAUAUACUAAAAUUGGAUGAUACAGAGAUUAGCAUGGCCCCUGUGCACGGAUGACACACAAAGUUGUGAAGUGUUCCAUAUUUUU